GAUGAACGCUGGCGGCGUGCCUAACACAUGCAAGUCGAACGAGAUGCUUGUCGGAAAGCUUCGGCCGGAAGAUACGUUAUCUAGUGGCGGACGGGUGAGUAACACGUGGGUAACCUGCCUUAUGGAGGGGGAUAACAGAGAGAAAUCACUGCUAAUACCGCAUAAGCACACAGUACCGCAUGGUACAGGGUGAAAAGAUUUAUCGCCAUAAGAUGGACCCGCGUCUGAUUAGCCAGUUGGCGGGGUAAAAGCCUACCAAAGCAACGAUCAGUGCCGAUCUGAGAGGAUGACCGGCCACAUUGGGACUGAGACACGGCCCAAACUCCUAGGGAGGCAGCAGUGGGGAAUAGUUGCACAAUGGGGGAAACCCUGAUGCAG
Molecule: ribosomal RNA, 378 nt
Filed under: Oribacterium sinus
Lineage: Bacteria; Bacillati; Bacillota; Clostridia; Lachnospirales; Lachnospiraceae
Description: bacterial SSU rRNA
Rfam family: Bacterial small subunit ribosomal RNA
Source: RNAcentral